Molecule: ribosomal RNA, 1196 nt
Filed under: human gut metagenome
Description: bacterial LSU rRNA
Rfam family: Bacterial large subunit ribosomal RNA
Source: RNAcentral
CUAUUACGCAGGGGGGGUCCAAGGGCGGGGCGGGGGGUUUUAGCCGAUGGACAACAGGUUGAUAUUCCUGUACUACCUAUAAGACUGAUGGAGUGACGGAGAAGGUUAGGAAAAGCCAGUUAUUGGAUUCUGGUCUAAGCACAAAGGCUUAUAAAUUAGGAAAUCUGUUUAUAAUUAAGCUGAAGUGUGAUGGUGAAGUCGCUUGCGACGAAAUUUUCUGACACCAUGCUUCCAAGAAAAGCUUCUAGGGUUAAUCUUAUAGGUACCCGUACUCAGAACCGACACAGGUGGUCAAGGAGAGUAUCCUAAGGUGAGCGAGAGAACUAUGGUUAAGGAACUCGGCAAAAUAACCCCGUAACUUCGGGAGAAGGGGUGGUCACUAGAUGACCGACACUAAAGACGCCCAGGCAACUGUUUACCAAAAACACAGGUCUCUGCUAAGUCGUAAGACGAUGUAUAGGGGCUGACACCUGCCCAGUGCUGGAAGGUUAAGAGGAGUGCUUAGAUAGACGCAAGUCGAUUAUUCGAAGGUACGAAUUGAAGCCCCAGUGAACGGCGGCCGUAACUAUAACGGUCCUAAGGUAGCGAAAUUCCUUGUCAGGUAAGUUCUGACCCGCACGAAAGGUGUAAUGAUCUGGGCACUGUCUCAACCAUAGACUCGGUGAAAUCUUAAUACCUGUGAAAAUGCAGGUUACCCGCAACAGGACGGAAAGACCCCAUGGAGCUUUACUGUAGCUUGAUAUUGAAGUUCGGUAUAUUAUGUAGAGAAUAGGUGGGAGACUAUGAAGUUAGGACGCUAGUUCUAAUGGAGUCACCUUUGGAAUACCACCCUUAAUGUAUUGAAUUUCUAACCUCGAUCCAUUAUCUGGAUCAGGGACAGUGUCUGGUGGGCAGUUUGACUGGGGCGGUCGCCUCCCAAAAAGUAACGGAGGCGCCCAAAGGUUCCCUCAGAAUGGUUGGACAUCAUUCAAAGAGCGUAAAGGUAUAAGGGAGCUUGACUGCGAGACCAACAAGUCGAGCAGAUACGAAAGUAGGGCUUAGUGAUCAGACGAUUCAGAAUGGAAUGGUCGUCGCUUAACGGAUAAAAGUUACCCUGGGGAUAACAGGCUGAUACCACCCAAUAGUUCACAUAGACGGUGGUGUUUGGCACCUCGAUGUCGGCUCGUCGUAUCCUGGAGGGGAAGGCGCUUCCCAGG